RNAcentral lists this ribosomal RNA (482 nucleotides) under uncultured bacterium. Its description in RNAcentral is "bacterial SSU rRNA". It matches the Rfam family "Bacterial small subunit ribosomal RNA", at positions 30 to 507 of the family's 1533-position model. The record is from RNAcentral.
AUUGAACGCUGGCGGCAUGCCUUACACAUGCAAGUCGAACGGUAACAGGUCUUCGGAUGCUGACGAGUGGCGAACGGGUGAGUAAUACAUCGGAACGUGCCCGAUCGUGGGGGAUAACGGAGCGAAAGCUUUGCUAAUACCGCAUACGAUCUACGGAUGAAAGCAGGGGACCGCAAGGCCUUGCGCGGACGGAGCGGCCGAUGGCAGAUUAGGUAGUUGGUGGGAUAAAAGCUUACCAAGCCGACGAUCUGUAGCUGGUCUGAGAGGACGACCAGCCACACUGGGACUGAGACACGGCCCAGACUCCUACGGGAGGCAGCAGUGGGGAAUUUUGGACAAUGGGCGCAAGCCUGAUCCAGCAAUGCCGCGUGCAGGAUGAAGGCCUUCGGGUUGUAAACUGCUUUUGUACGGAACGAAACGGUGAGCUCUAAUAAAGCUUGCUAAUGACGGUACCGUAAGAAUAAGCACCGGCUAACUACGUG